This 253-nucleotide ribosomal RNA is filed under the name uncultured bacterium. RNAcentral describes it as "partial 16S ribosomal RNA". It matches the Rfam family "Bacterial small subunit ribosomal RNA", at positions 524 to 776 of the family's 1533-position model. The record is from RNAcentral.
UACGGGGGGAGCAAGCGUUGUUCGGAUUUACUGGGCGUAAAGGGCGCGUAGGCGGCGUGGUAAGUCACUUGUGAAAUCUCCGAGCUUAACUCGGAACGGUCAAGUGAUACUGCUGUGCUAGAGUGCAGAAAGGGCAAUCGGAAUUCUUGGUGUAGCGGUGAAAUGCGUAGAUAUCGAGAGGAACACCUGCGGCGAAGGCGGGUUGCUGGGCUGAUACUGACGCUGAGGCGCGAAAGCCAGGGGAGCGAGCGGG